RNAcentral lists this ribosomal RNA (497 nucleotides) under uncultured bacterium. RNAcentral's name for it is "partial 16S ribosomal RNA". It matches the Rfam family "Bacterial small subunit ribosomal RNA", at positions 28 to 507 of the family's 1533-position model. The record is from RNAcentral.
GACGAACGCUGGCGGCGUGCCUAAUACAUGCAAGUUGAGCGCUGAAGGUUGGUACUUGUACCAACUGGAUGAGCAGCGAACGGGUGAGUAACGCGCGGGGAAUCUGCCUUUGAGCGGGGGACAACAUUUGGAAACGAAUGCUAAUACCGCAUAAAAACUUUAAACACAAGUUUUAAGUUUGAAAGAUGCAAUUGCAUCACUCAAAGAUGAUCCCGCGUUGUAUUAGCUAGUUGGUGAGGUAAAGGCUCACCAAGGCGAUGAUACAUAGCCGACCUGAGAGGGUGGUCGGCCACAUUGGGACUGAGACACGGCCCAAACUCCUACGGGAGGCAGCAGUAGGGAAUCUUCGGCAAUGGACGAAAGUCUGACCGAGCAACGCCGCGUGAGUGAAGAAGGUUUUCGGGUCGUAAAACUCUGUUGGUAGAGAAGAACGUUGGUGGGAGUGGAAAGCUCAUCAAGUGACGGUAACUACCCAGAAAGGGACGGCUAACUACGUG